This 75-nucleotide transfer RNA is filed under the name Candidatus Nomurabacteria bacterium. RNAcentral's name for it is "tRNA-Arg". It matches the Rfam family "tRNA". From Rfam's summary of the family: Transfer RNA (tRNA) molecules are approximately 80 nucleotides in length. Their secondary structure includes four short double-helical elements and three loops (D, anti-codon, and T loops). Further hydrogen bonds mediate the characteristic L-shaped molecular structure. tRNAs have two regions of fundamental functional importance: the anti-codon, which is responsible for specific mRNA codon recognition, and the 3' end, to which the tRNAs corresponding amino acid is attached (by aminoacyl-tRNA synthetases). tRNAs cope with the degeneracy of the genetic code in two manners: having more than one tRNA (with a specific anti-codon) for a particular amino acid; and 'wobble' base-pairing, i.e. permitting non-standard base-pairing at the 3rd anti-codon position. The record is from RNAcentral. Lineage: Bacteria; Candidatus Nomuraibacteriota.
GCACCCGUGGUGAAAUGGAUAUCAUAACUGCCUUCGAAGCAGUCGUUCCAGGUUCGACCCCUGGCGGGUGCACAA